Molecule: long non-coding RNA, 699 nt
Organism: Lolium perenne
Lineage: Eukaryota; Viridiplantae; Streptophyta; Magnoliopsida; Poales; Poaceae
Source: RefSeq, a predicted model, not a curated record
ACCCUAGCUUUCAAUGCCCCCUAUUCUAAAACGUGCAGCUGGGAGGCCAAUGACAAAAAGAUACAAAGGAUGGGAAGGAGGAAAGGGAUGUAGAAUGGUCACAUGCAAACGUUGCCAUCAAAAGGGCCAGAUGAAAAAAAUUUGCAAUGAGACCGUGCUUGAUCCUAAUGUACCUCCACCUGCACCACCUAAACCGAAGAGAGUAAGGAACAGGAGCAAGAAAGCAGUUGAAGUUCAACCACAAUCUAAACAGACUGAAGCACCAUCUACACACAUUGAAGCAUCAUCUCUGGAUAUUCAGACUACACCUCGAAAGCCCAGGCUCCAUCCAUGGAUAUUAGUAGCCCAAUGCCAAGAAGCGGCAAGCGGUAAUCAGAUCUUGAUUCUGCGACAAUACAGGGAAUGUGCACACCAACAAAACAACUUGUUUGUACAAUUGAUACCAUCAAUAGCCCUAUGACAAGAAGCCGCAAGAAACAAUCGGGCUAGAUGCAGCUGAGUCGAAAGUUGCUGCUCAGACUAAAGCCAUGAAGAAAACAAGUCACAAGUUGGAGGUCAAAAUGGCCAAAAAGUAAAGUUGAAUAUGGUUUGCUGUAUGUAAUACAGGACAUAUGCCCGGUCUGUUACUUUUGCUAGUUGAACUUGAACAUAAACCUAUGUUUUAAACUUGCCAUUUUGCGGGUUGUUGUGUUGAUUCUG